RNAcentral lists this ribosomal RNA (505 nucleotides) under uncultured bacterium. RNAcentral's name for it is "partial 16S ribosomal RNA". It matches the Rfam family "Bacterial small subunit ribosomal RNA", at positions 28 to 507 of the family's 1533-position model. The record is from RNAcentral.
GACGAACGCUGGCGGCGUGCCUAAUACAUGCAAGUAGAACGCACAGUUUAUACCGUAGCUUGCUACACCAUAAACUGUGAGUUGCGAACGGGUGAGUAACGCGUAGGUAACCUGCCUGGUAGCGGGGGAUAACUAUUGGAAACGAUAGCUAAUACCGCAUAAUAUUGAUUAUUGCAUGAUAAUUGAUUGAAAGAUGCUAUUGCAUCACUACCAGAUGGACCUGCGUUGUAUUAGCUAGUAGGUGAGGUAACGGCCCACCUAGGCGACGAUACAUAACCGACCUGAAAGGGUGCUCGGCCACACUGGGAUUGGGGCACGGCCCAGACUCCUACGGGAGGCAGCAGUAGGGAAUCUUCGGCAAUGGACGAAAGUCUGACCGAGCAACGCCGCGUGAGUGAAGAAGGUUGUCGGGUCGUAAAGCUCUGUUGUAAGAGAAGAACGGGUGUGAGAGUGGAAAGUUCACACUGUGACGGUAUCUUACCAGAAAGGGACGGCUAACUACGUG